GUUGCGCUUAGAUUGAGGUGUAACAACAGACGUUUUCACAGAGAGCACAACAAAACAGCAUGACCUGAUUACACACCCACUGAGUGUCUUUGCUGUUCAGUGUGUGCCAUGACUUAUUCUCUCCUGAGCUUCCUUUUUGUAUUCUGUGGAGUCCCAGAAAUAGCAUUUCACAAUUCAGGCUUCUCUGCAGUUUGCAAGGCCGCCCUGUUGACAGCUGCCCGGACAUAUAAAUAGGAUCCCCCCGGCCAGAUCAAACGAGUGAGAGGAGAACAGACAGAAACAGGAUGAUAACAGUUGGUAAGGCGUGGAUCUGUCUCAGUUUAACAUGUGCUCAGGUCGCUUUAUGGCAUCAAGAGGAGGUGUGCCAGAAACGAGGGCAGGCGGUGCUUCAAAAACCUCUCUAACAAAGCCCAACACUUGGUUGUGUUGUGAGCCGGUAUGAUGAAAAAUAUCUCUGCCAAGAAAAAAAUUCCCUCUAAUGAGACCAUUUUAGGAUGAAGAGGCAGAUAAACCAACUAAUCUGCUCACAAACAGACAGAGGAAGAGCCAUCCAUAGCUUCAGAAACUGUGUCUCUCUCUGUUAGUAGGUUUCCCUUCUGGCACUCUGAAAUGUCUUCAACUUUUUUGUGCAUUAUUUCACACUUAAACCUUUUUUUCUUUCAGGGUGAUAACACCGUCUGGCAGAAUGUGCUCCCGCUAUGUUAACUGUGGUUCAAAAAACAGCAGAUUUAAUGGGAGUGAGUGUGAAGAAACUAAUCCACACAUUCAGAGCCACAUACUAUGCUGUGGCAAGUGGGUAAAGCAUGUGAGCAAGUAAGCCUUUUACAAAAGACAGCAAACCUUGAGGUUGCCUACAGCAAACAGCAGUGAAGCUGUUUUUCCUGACUGCUGCUGAAAAGGAAAAUGAAGGUCCUUUAUUCAGGUUAGGCUGAGGGAUUGUUAUUUUCAAAUGAAGUGUCCACACUAUUGGAGCUGAAUAUCAGACGGUUUUGGUCUGAUUAGCUCAGGGCUUUAAUGGCACCCACUGUACAGGAGGUGAUUCUUUUUUUCUCAUGCAUUUAUGUCAGAGAUAUUAAGGUUGCAAGAUCAGCGAAACAGAGGCCAAAAUUUUGGUUGAGUCAGCAUUUCAAAUACAGCAACCGCCACAAAUGGGCUUCAAAACUCUGACCUCCUAACUUACUUUCGUCCAGGAAAACUCUUUGUCGUCUCUGAUGGUAAAAGCUAGUUGUAUCAAGGUUGCUG
This is a non-coding RNA of Xyrichtys novacula (pearly razorfish), 1242 nucleotides long. The record is from the annotation of a GenBank genome assembly. NCBI's taxonomy places the organism in Eukaryota, Metazoa, Chordata, Actinopteri, Labriformes, Labridae.